CUCCUGAUGGGGAGAAGGCUGGAUUCCUCAGGUUCCAGGGGGCCCAGGCUCCCUCCUGGGGGCCCUUUACUCCCUACUCUGCCCCCUCCCCAGCUCCGGCCCUGGCUCUGUGGCCGCCCUGCUUCCUGACAACCCUGCCCAGGAGCCUCAGCUUCUCCCAGCCAGAAACAGGAAGAUGAGAGCUGCCCGCCACCCCCACCACCCAGGCCCAGCUUCCCUAGACCAGCUGACUGGGCCCCUCUUCAUGCCCUACUCCCCUUGUGCUCCAAAGGAUGUGAGUCCACCAAAGGUGAAACCAAGACUGGGCCAACCCACCUGGUGUCUGGGAGGGGCUCUGGCCCCCUCUGACUGCACUGGGGCCAAGGCUCUGUCCAGCUGCCUCUCUGGGGUCCCUCCCUGAGUACCAAGUUGGGUACUGGGCCAAGUUGUACCAAGUUGUACCACCAGUACCAAGUUGGGUCCUGGUACUGGGCCAGGGGUGACUGGUAGUUCGAGGGGCCUUGCAGGAGGGAACCGCCCUGAGGACCCAGGUCUUCCCAUCCCUGCCUCACUUGCCCCAGAAUUGAACUUCUCCACGCAGCUCGGCAGGGCCAGGCUAGCGGAAGAAGAGGCCCGCCCAGACCAGCUCCCGCUCCAGAGAACAGCAUGGAGACAGAGGGCCCCACUGGAAGAGCCACCCUUUGGCUUAAGGAAGGCAGGUGUCGCCAGCCCUUGCCCAGAGGAUACGCUCACCCCAUCAGCACCCAGAGUUUGGGAGCAGAACUAACUGUUCUAGGAGGGGGUGGUCUUGGGAACAGGCGCCACAGAGGGGUCCACAGGCUAUGGGGAGGGGAGUGCCCUGGAGGUACUGGCCGCUGGGGGAGGCGAGCUGGAGCCCAGCAAGCAGGCUGUGGGGGGAGGCGAAGCCCUGGGAGGGCCUUCGCCCCCUUGCCUCCCACUCAGCAGCCCCCAGAGAAACAGCAGCAGCUGUUCCAAAGCUUCCCCGCCCUUCCUCGAGACAGGUGUUGGCUGAAUUCUCACUUCCUCCCAGCCUCAGAGAGCGCCUCCACCCGCUCUCCACCCUGCAGGCCGGUGCUGAGUCAGCAGUGCCUCUUCCUCUCCUCCACUCGGGGAGACCAGCCCCCCCAGAGCGGCUGA
RNAcentral lists this long non-coding RNA (1137 nucleotides) under Capra hircus (goat). RNAcentral describes it as "lncRNA (ENSCHIG00010016540.1)". The record is from RNAcentral. Lineage: Eukaryota; Metazoa; Chordata; Mammalia; Artiodactyla; Bovidae.